CAGUAGCCGCGGGAAUACGUAGGGUGCAAGCGUUAAUCGGAAUUACUGGGCGUAAAGCGUGCGCAGGCGGUUAUAUAAGACAGAUGUGAAAUCCCCGGGCUCAACCUGGGAACUGCAUUUGUGACUGUAUAGCUAGAGUACGGCAGAGGGGGAUGGAAUUCCGCGUGUAGCAGUGAAAUGCGUAGAUAUGCGGAGGAACACCGAUGGCGAAGGCAAUCCCCUGGGCCUGUACUGACGCUCAUGCACGAAAGCGUGGGGAGCAAACAGGAUUAGAGACCCCCGUAGUCCCUGUCUCUUAUAA
This 301-nucleotide ribosomal RNA is filed under the name uncultured bacterium. Its description in RNAcentral is "partial 16S ribosomal RNA". It matches the Rfam family "Bacterial small subunit ribosomal RNA", at positions 509 to 809 of the family's 1533-position model. The record is from RNAcentral.